Molecule: non-coding RNA, 586 nt
Organism: Paramuricea clavata
Lineage: Eukaryota; Metazoa; Cnidaria; Anthozoa; Malacalcyonacea; Plexauridae
Source: the annotation of a GenBank genome assembly
UUACUAUCAAAUCACAUCCAACAACAAAUUAAAAAUUUUAUCCAACCGAGACACAUCCUAGACUAUCUUCAGAACAAACAAAGGACCAACAACAACCGAAAAUAACAAUAACCAAACCAAAACUAUUAGCACAACUACAGAACAAACGAAACCAAAACGGGAACAGACACAAAACAAAAAAACAACUACUCAAUAAAAUCCAAAAACAAAAGGCAGGGGAUAAUAUAAUUAACUUAUCAAAUAUAAAUGUCUCGGAUGCUACUAAAAGCAUACUAAACAAGGGACUUAAAUUUGUUCCCAAACCUAAACCCAUUGGUUACCAAUCUGUCUAUACAUUAUACCUACAAUACCGAAGAAACAUGUACCUGCAAUACCAUUACAGACAUUCGAAUAACAACUAUAUAAAACAUCCAUUCAAAGCGAAAAGUGACUUCACACCACCACUACCGGACAAUGCUAACCUUUUGGAAUACAUGUCUCGUGUUUUACUCGAACUCAAAACCUCUCACGAGCUAAACAAAGACAGUUACACCACUAGGCUAAAUAACAACGUUUCUAAUGCAGAAACACAGGCUGUAAUGAACCU